UUACUUAUUCCGUGCAACCCCAAAUGCCCAUUUGGCUUACCUAAUAUAAGGUAGGAAUGAUGGACCGGGAUGUUCUUUUUAAGUCUUGAGAAUCCUAAAACUAGUGAGAGACCUUUAGUUGCAUUAAUGCUUGUCCAUUAAACUCAAAAACAAUGCUUUGAAAGAUGUCCCAGCUAAGAAUGGUGCUUCAGGAAGCUAAAGAAUAUGCAGAUAGAAGCUUUACUUCGUAAUUGUCCAAGUAACUUGUUUUUGCAGGGAGAAAUAACUGUAAUAUAUUGAUAUUUUUUCAUGCUUUUAAAAAUACAUAUAGAAAAGGUGGACUUUAAAACAAGUUUAAGAUACAACUCUGUUGUCAGAAAAGAUUUGAGUUGUCUUGUUUCAUUCAAACUAAUUGAUCAUCAACUCAAGGUAAUCUUUGGCAACAGCGAGCCUCAUAAUAAAUAAAAGAAAAAAACCCCAGCCUAUUUACUAGGUAUUCUUGACAGGCAUUUGAAAUACUGGUAGUCUGAAAUUAUUUUUGUUUGUAAAUAAAUUCUCUUUCAUAAUCAUGCACAUGUGUGUGCAUACAUGCACUACUUUGGGACAUAUUUAUGAGUGGCAAGACUACAGAAGAGGCUUUUUUCCUUUUAAUACCUUAGAUUUGUAAAUUGACAUUGAAAUGCCCAAGUGACUAACCUGAUUUGGAAAAAUGUUAAGCACCUACCAUAUUCAAAUCGUUGCAGGUAAAUAGCCAAUGAAUCAAUUUUCAAAUAUGGUUAUACAGCAUCUCUUUUUGUUACUGUAAAGCUUAUGGCACUGUAUGAAGUGAGUUUUGUUGUAAGCAUUUCUGAAGGUCUUAAAGAUAAAGUUCAUGGUAAUUUACCCACCUUCAGUUACCUUUAUUCAAGAUUUUUCUACUACUUGGCCCAUUUUUCAGAACAUAUCAUGAACACAAAUAAAAUUACAUUCAAGUUAAUUAAAAAUGUAUCCCUAGAAGUACACUCAUUCUUCAUCCAUCUUGAUCCUUCAUCCUUUGAUCAGGAGCUAUAUUAUCAAUGAGCAACAAAAUAAGAAAAAAGGUGGCAAUCUGUAUCCCCACAAUGGUGAAUUAUUUUAAGAUCUAGUUUACAUCAGAUGAAUUUCUGUAUGCUUGCAUUUGCUCAAAUGAUUUUUUUUUUUUAAACAAAAUAGUUAAAUAAUGUGAAAUAAUGCAGCCUGGGCUCUGUUAAAUAAGGUUAUAUUAAUGCAACUGAAAUGCUGUAUGUCUGUAAUAUUCAUGCUAAAUAUAUACUAGCUUUUUACAAAGGCUUUCUGUAACAUCAGUUAACCUACAGUCUCUGAUGUUCUGUAUAAAAUCCUGUUGGCAAACUGCUUUUGUUAGCGCUGUAGUGUAUGAAAUGGUAAGGUUAUAGACAAAACAAGUUACAGGAUGCAACAGAAGUGUGUUUUUGUUUAUCUUUGCGCUGAGUUCAGAAUAUAGCAGCUUUGGCAAACUACUGCAGCAGAGAAAACGUUUUGUAUAAUGCUUAUAAUGCAAAGUAAUUUGUCUUACAUUCUGUAAAGCAGAGAAAUCAUCAAUGUUGGAUAAGUUUAUUCAAGUUUUAGCAAAGGUUUUAUGUUUCACAGAUUUAAAUAUUAAAGGAGAAAUAUAUAUUUAUAUAGAAGUAUAAUUUUUGAAUGUUUGAGGUUGGAUUUAUUCAGUCAUGAACCAUUUAUUUAUCCACAUUAUGCUUUAUUCCUUUGCUAGCUUGUUUAUCUGUCCAUGCUAUUCCAACAUCUAUUUCUAAUUUGGUUUAGAUGUUUUGAUUCUUUGCUUGCACAAAUAUGGAUGUACAUGCUUUCUGGACCUGAUCAUAAAGUGUAGAGGCAAAACUGUUUUGUCCUUGAUUACCUAGAGCACUAAUAAAAAUUUAAUCAUUAAAUAGUUGUGAUACAGAGAUAGGUCUUGACAUAGUCUUCCUUGGGUCACUGUACAGUAUGAUAGAAACUUUCAGUGAAUUUUUCUAUUUCUUGUUCCUAUUUUCAUUUGUCUUUCAUCAACCAGGAAGCUGCUGUGUGCUAAUAAUUACCUGCAAUAUUUAUAACUGCAGGCAUUGCAAACAUUAACAUUCAGCUGUAUUAGCCUACUGUGUUCACUGUGAAAUUUUCAACAUGGUAAAAAUUUUACAUGAUCAUUUAACCUUACAAGUUUACUUUUUUCAUCACUAAUUUAACACUGAAACCUUUUUUUUUUUUUUGGUCUUUAUUGCGAAUGAACUUGAGCAUAGCAUUGCUUAAUCUUAACUAUAAUAGAUAGACAUAUCCUAAGCAAAGAUUUUUUAACCACUUGAUGAAGGGGGCCAGGCACCAUCCAGUGCAAAGCAUACUGGGCAAAAUCUUAUCCCCACUGCAGUCAGUGCCAAAAUUUUAACUGGUGUUAACAAAAACAGAACCAUCAUUACCAAGGGGUUAAUAUGCUUAGUAACCAUGACAAGAGGUUAUGGGGGAGCACAACAGUGAUUCUCUAUUUCCAUAUCUUUGUUUCUGUUAAUUUAAAACUACUACUAUUCAAUCUUUAAAAUAAGUAAAAGAAACUUGAAGGGGGGAUCAUAUACUACUAGUUUGUAUUAGUUUUUUUCAGGAAAAGGAAACAAAUUUAUAUAUAUAUAUAUGCUAUAUAUUUUUACACUGUUUAUUAAUGCUAGAAAGUAUUAAAUGUAUCACUUUAUCAGUGUGAAUGUUAAAGUAAUGACAAUGUUAUGGAUGUUUUAAACCUUUUAGAGUUGUCUUGUUAAAUUCUAAACCCACAUUAACAAUGGAAAAGCUACUUUGUCUGCAACGUUAUUGUUGAUGUUUUAGGGAAAAAGUUCAAGUACAGCAGUUGUUCGAUUAGCACUGUAAAAGCUUGGCUUGAAAAAUCUGUAGUGAAACCCAUAUUGUAAACACCAUUUUUUAAAGCAUAGCUUCUCAUAAAGUACAUUACUGCUGUUACUGACUGUAUAAGAUUUUAUCUUUAGUUGGUAAAGUGAUCAAUAAAUGUGUUACUACAUCA
Molecule: long non-coding RNA, 3010 nt
Filed under: Strigops habroptila (Kakapo)
Lineage: Eukaryota; Metazoa; Chordata; Aves; Psittaciformes; Psittacidae
Description: lncRNA (ENSSHBG00005004625.1)
Source: RNAcentral